This 712-nucleotide ribosomal RNA is filed under the name uncultured Pseudomonadota bacterium. RNAcentral's name for it is "bacterial SSU rRNA". It matches the Rfam family "Bacterial small subunit ribosomal RNA", at positions 28 to 735 of the family's 1533-position model. Lineage: Bacteria; Pseudomonadati; Pseudomonadota. The record is from RNAcentral.
AUUGAACGCUGGCGGCAGGCCUAACACAUGCAAGUCGAGCGGAUGACGGGAGCUUGCUCCUUGAUUCAGCGGCGGACGGGUGAGUAAUGCCUAGGAAUCUGCCUGGUAGUGGGGGACAACGUUUCGAAAGGAACGCUAAUACCGCAUACGUCCUACGGGAGAAAGCAGGGGACCUUCGGGCCUUGCGCUAUCAGAUGAGCCUAGGUCGGAUUAGCUAGUUGGUGGGGUAAUGGCUCACCAAGGCGACGAUCCGUAACUGGUCUGAGAGGAUGAUCAGUCACACUGGAACUGAGACACGGUCCAGACUCCUACGGGAGGCAGCAGUGGGGAAUAUUGGACAAUGGGCGAAAGCCUGAUCCAGCCAUGCCGCGUGUGUGAAGAAGGUCUUCGGAUUGUAAAGCACUUUAAGUUGGGAGGAAGGGCAGUAAGUUAAUACCUUGCUGUUUUGACGUUACCGACAGAAUAAGCACCGGCUAACUCUGUGCCAGCAGCCGCGGUAAUACAGAGGGUGCAAGCGUUAAUCGGAAUUACUGGGCGUAAAGCGCGCGUAGGUGGUUUGUUAAGUUGGAUGUGAAAGCCCCGGGCUCAACCUGGGAACUGCAUCCAAAACUGGCAAGCUAGAGUACGGUAGAGGGUGGUGGAAUUUCCUGUGUAGCGGUGAAAUGCGUAGAUAUAGGAAGGAACACCAGUGGCGAAGGCGACCACCUGGACU